GAUGAACGCUAGCGGGAGGCCUAACACAUGCAAGCCGAGCGGUAUUGUUUCUUCGGCUAUGUGUGAGCGGCGUACGGGUGCGUAACACGUGUGCAACCUGCCUUUAUCUGGGGGAUAGCCUUUCGAAAGGAAGAUUAAUACUCCUUAUUAUAUUGAACGGCAUCGUUUAAUAUUGAAAGCUCCUGCGGCUAGAGAUGGGCAGGGGCCGGAUUAGCUAGUUGGUGAGGUAACGGCCCACCAACGCGAUGAUCCGUAGCUGGCCGGAGAGGGUGAUCCGCCACCCAGGAACUGAGACUCGGUCCCGAACCCUACGGGAGGCAGAAGUGGGGAAUAUGGGACAAUGGGCGCAAGCCUAAGCCAGCCCCACCGCGCGGGUGAAGAAGGCCUUCGGGUUGUGGAGUUCUUUUUUUGUGUAAGAAAAGAAGAACGUUCCUACCCCGGUGUUCUGAAGGUACCCAAAGAAUAAGCACCGGCUAACUUCGUG
This 484-nucleotide ribosomal RNA is filed under the name uncultured bacterium. RNAcentral's name for it is "partial 16S ribosomal RNA". It matches the Rfam family "Bacterial small subunit ribosomal RNA", at positions 28 to 507 of the family's 1533-position model. The record is from RNAcentral.